Molecule: ribosomal RNA, 1325 nt
Filed under: Salmonella enterica subsp. enterica serovar Enteritidis
Lineage: Bacteria; Pseudomonadati; Pseudomonadota; Gammaproteobacteria; Enterobacterales; Enterobacteriaceae
Description: partial 23S ribosomal RNA
Rfam family: Bacterial large subunit ribosomal RNA
Source: RNAcentral
AAAUCCGGUUCACUUUAACACUGAGGCGUGACGACGAGGCACUACGGUGCUGAAGCAACAAAUGCCCUGCUUCCAGGAAAAGCCUCUAAGCAUCAGGUAACAUCAAAUCGUACCCCAAACCGACACAGGUGGUCAGGUAGAGAAUACCAAGGCGCUUGAGAGAACUCGGGUGAAGGAACUAGGCAAAAUGGUGCCGUAACUUCGGGAGAAGGCACGCUGACACGUAGGUGAAGUGAUUUACUCAUGGAGCUGAAGUCAGUCGAAGAUACCAGCUGGCUGCAACUGUUUAUUAAAAACACAGCACUGUGCAAACACGAAAGUGGACGUAUACGGUGUGACGCCUGCCCGGUGCCGGAAGGUUAAUUGAUGGGGUCAGCGCAAGCGAAGCUCCUGAUCGAAGCCCCGGUAAACGGCGGCCGUAACUAUAACGGUCCUAAGGUAGCGAAAUUCCUUGUCGGGUAAGUUCCGACCUGCACGAAUGGCGUAAUGAUGGCCAGGCUGUCUCCACCCGAGACUCAGUGAAAUUGAACUCGCUGUGAAGAUGCAGUGUACCCGCGGCAAGACGGAAAGACCCCGUGAACCUUUACUAUAGCUUGACACUGAACAUUGAGCCUUGAUGUGUAGGAUAGGUGGGAGGCUUUGAAGUGUGGACGCCAGUCUGCAUGGAGCCGACCUUGAAAUACCACCCUUUAAUGUUUGAUGUUCUAACGUGGACCCGUUACCCGGGUUGCGGACAGUGUCUGGUGGGUAGUUUGACUGGGGCGGUCUCCUCCUAAAGAGUAACGGAGGAGCACGAAGGUUGGCUAAUCCUGGUCGGACAUCAGGAGGUUAGUGCAAUGGCAUAAGCCAGCUUGACUGCGAGCGUGACGGCGCGAGCAGGUGCGAAAGCAGGUCAUAGUGAUCCGGUGGUUCUGAAUGGAAGGGCCAUCGCUCAACGGAUAAAAGGUACUCCGGGGAUAACAGGCUGAUACCGCCCAAGAGUUCAUAUCGACGGCGGUGUUUGGCACCUCGAUGUCGGCUCAUCACAUCCUGGGGCUGAAGUAGGUCCCAAGGGUAUGGCUGUUCGCCAUUUAAAGUGGUACGCGAGCUGGGUUUAGAACGUCGUGAGACAGUUCGGUCCCUAUCUGCCGUGGGCGCUGGAGAACUGAGGGGGGCUGCUCCUAGUACGAGAGGACCGGAGUGGACGCAUCACUGGUGUUCGGGUUGUCAUGCCAAUGGCACUGCCCGGUAGCUAAAUGCGGAAGAGAUAAGUGCUGAAAGCAUCUAAGCACGAAACUUGCCCCGAGAUGAGUUCUCCCUGAGACUUUAGGUCUCCUGAAGGAACG